This 253-nucleotide unclassified non-coding RNA is filed under the name Hevea brasiliensis (rubber tree). The record is from RNAcentral. Lineage: Eukaryota; Viridiplantae; Streptophyta; Magnoliopsida; Malpighiales; Euphorbiaceae.
CAAGACUUUUAACACACAUGCACUGAAGACUAGAAACAAAUAAAAUGUUCCAACAAGAACUUCUAAAUUAAACUCAUCCUUCACAUCUAGCUUUGAAUUAAUUCCAUUUCCCUUUUAGAAAUUUUUAUACAACUUUAAAAGGCAAAAAGGUCUAAUUUUACAAUUGCCGAUAGAAAUGGGUAUGCUUGAAAGAACCCUGAGUUUAAGAGAAAAAGAGGAAGCAGGGAUGCUGGUAUAGUUGGCAGUAGCAAAG